GACGAACGCUGGCGGCGUGCUUAACACAUGCAAGUCGAACGGUGAAGCGCCUUCCUUUUUGGUGGGUGUGGAUGAGUGGCGAACGGGUGAGUAACACGUGUGUAACCUGCCCCCUUCUUCUGGAUAACCGCAUGAAAGUGUGGCUAAUACGGGAUAUUCUGGGUCUGUCGCAUGAUGGGUCUGGGAAAGAUAUUGUUUCGGUGGGGGAUGGGCUCGCGGCCUAUCAGCUUGUUGGUGGGGUGAUGGCCUACCAAGGCGGUGACGGGUAGCCGGCCUGAGAGGGUGGACGGUCACACUGGGACUGGGACACGGCCCAGACUCCUACGGGAGGCAGCAGUGGGGAAUAUUGCACAAUGGGCGCAAGCCUGAUGCAGCGACGCCGCGUGAGGGAUGGAGGCCUUCGGGUUGUGAACCUCUUUCGCCAGUGAAGCAGGCCUGCCUCGUUUGUGGGUGGGUUGACGGUAGCUGGAUAAGAAGCGCCGGCUAACUACGUG
This 494-nucleotide ribosomal RNA is filed under the name uncultured bacterium. RNAcentral's name for it is "partial 16S ribosomal RNA". It matches the Rfam family "Bacterial small subunit ribosomal RNA", at positions 28 to 507 of the family's 1533-position model. The record is from RNAcentral.